UGCAGUGUUAACCAUGAUGUGACAAGCAUUCUGUUGAAAAAUCUUAUAUGUGAACUGGUCUGCAGAUGACACUUUAGCAUUGAGGCAAAAGAUAUCAAGUUUUGAUGAAAAAAGAAGGAAGAAGGAAAAAUGGACCAAAAACAGACCAAAACAGACCUUCAAAUGAACUCUAAAAGGUGCAAUAAAAUUGUAUAUCAUCUUAAA
Molecule: long non-coding RNA, 204 nt
Organism: Mytilus trossulus (common blue mussel)
Lineage: Eukaryota; Metazoa; Mollusca; Bivalvia; Mytilida; Mytilidae
Exons: 2
Source: RefSeq, a predicted model, not a curated record